CGAUAGCUAUAAAAUGCAAUCAGCUGAUUAUUGAUUUUCUGUCCAAAUCUUAAUGAGGUCAAGGUGAAUUCCGAGUAUUGUCUGAUCGGGUAAAGUCAGAGAAACUCGAAAAAAAGUAAAUAAACAAGAUGGAGGAAAUAAAUCGUUAUAAAUAUUUCUUUCGCCAAAUUCUUUCGCAAAUGACGAUUAUUUAUCGCCACA
Molecule: long non-coding RNA, 201 nt
Filed under: Mytilus galloprovincialis (Mediterranean mussel)
Lineage: Eukaryota; Metazoa; Mollusca; Bivalvia; Mytilida; Mytilidae
Source: RNAcentral